UACGUAGGGGCCUAGCGUUGUCCGGAAUUAUUGGGCGUAAAGAGCUCGUAGGCGGUGUGUCACGUCGGCCGUGAAAACCUGCAGCUUAACUGUGGGCGUGCGGUCGAUACGGGCAUCACUGGAGUUCGGCAGGGGAGACUGGAAUUCCUGGUGUAGCGGUGAAAUGCGCAGAUAUCAGGAGGAACACCGGUGGCGAAGGCGGGUCUCUGGGCCGAUACUGACGCUGAGGAGCGAAAGCGUGGGGAGCAAACAGG
This 254-nucleotide ribosomal RNA is filed under the name uncultured bacterium. RNAcentral describes it as "partial 16S ribosomal RNA". It matches the Rfam family "Bacterial small subunit ribosomal RNA", at positions 524 to 776 of the family's 1533-position model. The record is from RNAcentral.